UACGUAGGUGGCAAGCGUUGUCCGGAUUUACUGGGCGUAAAGAGCGCGCAGGCGGUCGGAUAAGUCGAAUGUGAAAGCCCCUGGCUCAACCAGGGAGGGUCAUUCGAUACUGUUCGACUCGAAGGCAGGAGAGGGAAGUGGAAUUCCGGGUGUAGUGGUGAAAUGCGUAGAUAUCUGGAGGAACACCGGUGGCGAAGGCGGCAUCCUGGACCGAUACUGACGCUGAGGAGCGAAAGCCAGGGGAGCAAACGGG
This 253-nucleotide ribosomal RNA is filed under the name uncultured bacterium. Its description in RNAcentral is "partial 16S ribosomal RNA". It matches the Rfam family "Bacterial small subunit ribosomal RNA", at positions 524 to 776 of the family's 1533-position model. The record is from RNAcentral.